RNAcentral lists this ribosomal RNA (434 nucleotides) under uncultured bacterium. Its description in RNAcentral is "partial 16S ribosomal RNA". It matches the Rfam family "Bacterial small subunit ribosomal RNA", at positions 29 to 507 of the family's 1533-position model. The record is from RNAcentral.
AGCGAACGCUGGCGGCAGGCCUAACACAUGCAAGUCGAACGAACCUUUCGGGGUUAGUGGCGGACGGGUGAGUAACACGUGGGAACGUGCCUUUAGGUUCGGAAUAACUCAGGGAAACUUGUGCUAAUACCGAAUGUGCCCUUCGGGGGUAAGAUUUAUCGCCUUUAGAGCGGCCCGCGUCUGAUUAGCUAGUUGGUUGAGGUAAUGGCUCACCAAGGCGACGAUCAGUAGCUGGUCUGAGAGGAUGAUCAGCCACAUUGGGACUGAGACACGGCCCAAACUCCUACGGGAGGAAGCAGUGGGGAAUCUUGCGCAAUGGGCGAAAGCCUGACGCAGCCAUGCCGCGUGAAUGAUGAAGGUCUUAGGAUUGUAAAAUUCUUUCACCGGGGACGAUAAUGACGGUACCCGGAGAAGAAGCCCCGGCUAACUUCGUG